AAUUUCAUUGCCCUCUUGAGUGGAAAUUUCCUGACCAGCCUUUAUUGUAAGAGUGUUGCCGUGGUGUUAUAAGUGCAGUUACUUUGUUCUCAGUAAGUGCUUCUUUGAUCCUAGUGAUGAACUGUUUGAUAUUUAGAAGUACCUAUGAUUUUCCCAACCUGACAUGGGGUGUAUGUGUGUGUCAGUGGAGAUGUAGGUGUGGUCUGCGGUUGCCUUCCAAUGAGCCCAGAUGCACAACUGUGAGGCUCACUAGAAAAUGAAGUUCAGAUAGUACACUGGAUCUUCUCUUUCUAUGCUUUUUUCUUUCCUUUUUUUCUGUCCCACUUUCCUUUUCUUCCUUACUUCUAAUACAUAAAGCAGGAUGUUUAAGAGAGAAAAACAUGGAAUAUUCUUGUUGCUGUGGAGACAAUUCAUUUCUGAGGAAUAACCUGAAACUUCUGUGGUUCUUUAAUGGAUGCACACAUUUUAGGCUAACGUGGAAAACAGCAGGGAAGAGAUUCAAAGGGAACUAUCCCUGACUUCUUAACAGUUAGGAAGUAUAUUUGAGAGGAAGACAAGAAGGAAUUGAAUGAAAUGGAAGGGGAAACUCAAAGCCUUGUUCCCUCCAACAAUGCAGAAGCACUUCCACUUACAUGAAAUGACCAGAGAUGAGUAGGGAGAAUCAUUUGUCAUCAUCAGAACAAGAAAGUUCAACUACUAGCGUAAAAGUCUAUCCGUCUAUUAGCCUGGUGAUGGGUAUUAAAGAGGGCACGUACUGCAUGGAGCACUGGGUGUUAUACGCAAACGAUGAAUCAUGGAACACUACAUCAAAAACUAAUGAUGUAAUGUAUGGUGAUUAACAUAACAUAAAAAAAAAAGAAAACAAAUAAACGAGAUGAACGUUCUCUGCAUUGUUAGAUAUGGUACAGCUAUCAAGUUCUUGUUUCCUCUUCUUGCUCUAGUUUUCUGCCAGUCUUUGAAGUUUCAGUCUAUCAUGAAAGUAAAACACUUCAUGUCCUCAGGGUCAUAAAAAAAAAAAAAAAAUCAGACUAAAUAGUGAAAUGUAGUAGCCAUCAUGAAAGGCAUGUCCUCUUGCAUGCUUUUUUGCCCACUUUUUUAUGAAAACAUAUGCCUGUGAGGGAAUCCUAAAUAUUUGCAAAAUCACACUUCAUAUUUAUCGUCAUGACGACAGCAACAGUCACCGCCAGCGCCACCACUGCCAAUAAUCUUGCUUUAAGGAGAAGCCUGCUCCUUGCAUCUGAGGCUUCUCCAAGGUUCUCUUACAUUUCUAUAUCGCUUCCUCUGUGUCCUCCAUCCAGUGCCGUGACUUCAGUUCUACCUAUGUGACACUCAACUCAAAACAGCUGUCCCCAACCUCUUUCCUGAGCUCAGGGGUUGUAUAACCAGCUCUCCUCUGGGUAUUUUCACCUGGAUUUUUUAUUGACACCUGUAGCCCAAGAUGUCUACAACUGGUCUUAUUAUCUCUCACACCCAAUUUGUUCUUGCUUUUUACUCCCUAUUUCAGUUAAUAAUUCUACCAUUCGCCUUGUUGCCUAAGCCAAGAACUUGAGGGUCAUGUUAGGUUCCUCUUCCACCCUUCACCUUUAUUCACAGAGUUCUAGUGACUGUGCUACUGAAUAUCUCUUGAAUCCAUUCUCUGGAUCUUGUCACUUUAGUACUUCACCCCUGCAAUAACUUCCCAGUGCCUAUGGAACAAAAUCAGGUGCCUUAAUGUUUCAUAUAUCGCCCCACUUCGUAUUCUUACUCUCUACCUUUGCCCUUAUUCUCCAGCCAAAUCCAACCAUCCAGGGCUCUGGAAACUGCCACAUUCUCUCUUGUUUCUAUGCUUUCAACCAUGAUAUUUGCUCUGUCAGGGGUUCUUCCCUUGCAAGUUUGGCAGUAAUUUCUUCCUUUUCCUGUUGCCUGACUCCCAUGUCUUUCUCCCUCCACCACUGGCAGGUUUGGAAAUUUCUUUCUCUGGAUCUCAAAGCUGCUUGAUAAAAUCAUAGUAUGGCUGACACCACCUUCUGCUGUGUUUGUCUUUACUGUCCUCAGCACUGUACUGUGAGCACCUUUGGGUUAGGGACUGAUUCUUCACCUUUAUAACUCAGCAGCCGUGAUGUGCCUUGUACGUAAGUAGAGGCUUAGGAAACACUUGUUUUUUUUUUUGUUUGUUUUUGUUUUUUAAAGAUUUUAUUUAUUUAUUUGACAGAGAGAGACAGCGAGAGCAGGAACACAAGCAGGGGGAGUGGGAGAGGGAGAAGCAGGCUUCCCGCGGAGCAGGGAGCCCAAUGCGGGGCUCGAUCCCAGGACCCUGGGACCAUGACCUGAGCCGAAGGCAGACGCUUAACGACUGAGCCACCCAGGGGCCCUAGGAAACACUUGUUGACUGAAUAAAGAAGGUGAAAGAUAUUUCUGGCUUCAAAGGGGAGAAGAUGAUAAUCGGAAGCCGUGUGCAGAUUUUGUAACCAUACUUUGAGGCUUAUAGAUUUUUUUUUUCUCCUCCUUCGUUCCUAGAGGCACUGGCUUUCCAUAUUCAUAAUAUUUCAUGUGGCAAUGAGUCCACAGUAUUUCCUGAAGAUUCCUGGUUUGCCUGGCCCUGCAUUAUGUCCUCUAAGGCUUACCGAGACUGAGGCUUGGUCUCCACCCUCAAAAAAUGCAUAAUGGAAAUGAGGAAUUAAAACCAGGUCAUGAAAACAUUAGAGGAUAGCGAAUGCAAACUUGCUUGCUGCAUCUCGUUGUGAGAAAGGAGAGAAGAGGCGGAACAGGUAGCUGGCAAGUGCUUUGUGGAGAAGGUGGGAAUGAAGCUGGACGCUGUGAAGAACUCAUUUUCUCUUCUAGGUGGUGGUAGUUCUGUUUCUAGUGAGUUUCUUCUCUGGGAGUCUCUUCAUAAUGAAAGUCCUUCAGCACUAUUUCUGCUCACUUACCGGAACAGCCUUGUUACUCACAGGUGAUUUGUCUGUCUGUGGGUGCCUGUUAAAGGGUAGCACCUACGGAAGAGGUUGUGUGACACUCAGAAGAAAUGGAAGACCUGGGACUAAUGGACUAAGGAAAAAUGAAGGUUUAAUCAGCCAGAAGCUGUUUGUGGCUGGGGUAUGGUCCUCCAGGUUGUGUAUCUUCUACUUCGUGGCAGUUUCUUGAUCUACUAUUGUGACCCAUCAUCUGUAAAAUCAAGGUCAAACCAGUGCCUCUUGAUAGAAUAUUGCUACCUCUGCAAAGCAUCCUGGAGCAGUUGAUAUUUUGAUGGGGACUGUGAAUGUGGCCGGAGGGUCACAGCUCUGAUGGGUGCUGUUCUGGUACAUUAUGGUAGGUGGGAGUACCAGGAAAAUAAGGAGACCAGUUGAGGAAAACAGCUGCUCUUGUGAGCUCUCUUUUCCAUCUUCUCCAUUUUUUCACCCCAGUUCGUAAUAUGUACAAAUGAUACUAAACGUAUUCCAUAAAAUGGUCCUCUGUGAAUGAUAAAUCAUGUAACCCAUUUACAAAAUGCUUUUUAGUUUUGGUUUAAAGUCCUCCCCGCAGUCACUGCAGGCGCCUGAUUCUUCUAUAAUAUCCUCCCUAAUGUUCACAGGGAAAUGGAAGUUUCUCUAUGUCUGAGAUUUUAAUAAAUUGGACUAUUAAGUUGUAAUCCAAGACCCCAGCUCAGAAGACAAGAUCCCUUUAGAGUUGUUGACUUUAUUACACACGAAGUGGUGACUGGCAAUGUCUUAAAGAAACAUUAGGUGACUAGAAAGGGAGAGGUUGGUCACGUUGGGGCUGGUGUACUGCUCUGAAUUAUUCUUGGGGUUAUCACUGACUUAUAACUGUGCACCUUAGAGAUUAGGAAGUCAUUGUGGCUGCCAUUAAGGCUCUCAUCUUCCAUUGGAUCUGAUUUUGAUUAUUGUGUUUUCCUGUGGGGAAAAUACCCCUCACUGUGUAUUAUCUAUGCUUCAGUUUAA
Mirounga angustirostris (Northern elephant seal) is the source of this 3914-nucleotide long non-coding RNA. RefSeq lists it as uncharacterized. The record is from RefSeq and is a predicted model, not a curated record. The transcript has 2 exons. NCBI's taxonomy places the organism in Eukaryota, Metazoa, Chordata, Mammalia, Carnivora, Phocidae.